CCUUGUGCCUGGUGGGGAGCAGGCUCCGAGGUGACAUCUCCCAGGCAAGGCACACAGAUGCAAAUCACCGGGACAGGGAAUGUGUGCAGCAGAGUCACCUCAGCCUGGUGCCAAGGUGAAAAAAAUCCCUGCAAAGAAGGAGAAGAGGCUGCUCCUGUCCCUGCCCUCACCUCCUGUGACCACCUGAGGCAUUUCAGUGUGAGAGAGUCUUUUCAGGGACAACUCUACUGCCGCUCCAGCAGACGUCUGAAAUGAGGGGAAAAAUUCAAGUACGUCCUGCUAGGUUUGAACAAAAGCAGCUCCAUUUCCAUUUGUAGGAGGAAGAACUGGGGACCUCGGCCACUCCUGGGCAUUUAGGACCUGAACUAAAGGAAUGAAUUCCGCUUGCACUGAGGAGCCAUCCCCUUGUGAUGGAACCAGGCCCUACAGAGCAGGACUCAAGCACCAGGCAGAUCUCAGCACCCUGAUGCUGAUACUGGUGAUGUGACAAAACCAGAGUUCACCUCUCUUCACCCUUACCUGGCUUACAGUGGGAUUAAUUUAAGUCUCCCUUUUACCUUGGGAGACUUAAAUCUCCUUUUUCCCCACCUUUUCCCUCCUCAGGGCAGGAGCCAGUGGGGUCCUUCCAAGAGCAAUGACCAGGCAGCAGUUCUGCUGCUCCAUCCUCCUGCUCCCAGCAUAUGGGGCUCAGCAGAGACUAACCAACACUCACUCUCCUGCAGGAUUAAUUUCUGGAGGAGAGAAAUGGCUGACACAAUCCAGGUAUUUCUUGGCGGCAAUCCUAUUUACCGAGAGCAUUCACAAAGGAUUUACAAACCUAAAGGGGGAUUUAAAGGGAAUUUGGGCACCUAACUCUGAAACAGCAAACCUGAAAAUCCCCACUCAUCCAUUGCCUGAUCCCAGAGGUUCCUGAGCUACACAGGUACCAUUUUUUUCCCUGUACUGGCAUGUACAGAAGAUCUUUGGUCAUGGCAAAGCUGAGCAGCUCCUAACCAGAAAUCCCCCUGCUCUUUAGUUUACCUACCCUGAACAUCCCUUUAUCUCUCAGCAGCUCCGAGACAGCCCGAGGCUCUCUGCAGCCACAGAGGCAAAGCUGCUGCUGGUUUAUUUUAAAAUGCAGCAGCUCCUUCUUGCCUCCAUCUAUAAAAUAGCUUGGGAGAGUCUCUUGGGCUGUGGACGCCCAAAUCUUAGUUUCUCCUCCACCUGAGUCUAACUCUUCUCUCCUGUUACAGCCACAGAGUAUAAAUGAUGAUGACUUUUUGAAGUGGAAGUUUAUUCUCUAUUUCCACAGCAAUGAGGGGCAGCCUCCUGCCUCAUCCUGAGUCCCCUAAAGCUGAUGUUUGUGAGAGUUUAAGGUGUCAUUUUGGGGCAUGACAGAGGUGGACAUAAAUGUUGUCAGGCAAAAGUAGAACACAAGCCAUGCCUUCGAGCAUCACAGGAAAAUUACCUGGGGACCAGGGAGGUGGGAGAAAGUGGUGGGAGGAGGGGGAUGAAUUUAUCUUGGGGAGACCCAUGAGGGAGGAGGAAGAAACCUCAGCUUAAGGUGUGAGGAGUAAACUACCCCAUUUCUCUGUUUUGACUGCAGAAGGAGUUGAGAAAAAUAAAUGUUUAAUCCCUAGGUAAUUGAACUGAGGAGCAAAUGUCUUGUUCUCAGGUCACACAGCCCAGCUGCUGGGUGGGCCAUGGCUUUGGGCAGGGGAUUCUGUUCCUUCCAGUUCCUGCAUUAUAGAAUGUUUUAAUUGCUGUUUUCACCUGACUUGAAAUCAGGGUGAUGAUCAUUCCUUAUCUGUGCCUGCAAAUGUCCCUCUCCCAGACCUGCUUGGUGCUGGCCACCGACCCUUUUCAGAUUCAUGGUGCAGCCAACUCCAGCUGUUCCUGCUGGAAGCACAACUUGAUUGAGCUUUUUAAUUUAAUUGAGGUUUCUCUGCACAGUCUUUCUCCGUGGCCAAGGGGUUCCCCUCCACGCUUCCCACCUGAGGUUGUCUCCCAGCACGUUGAAAUCCACACUUCCCAGAGCAAUCUGAACUUCAUCUGGAGCCACCUCAACAGCAAGAUUGUGUUUUCCCCUUCCAUAAGUUGUGCAAUGCUUUACAUUACCCACACGUGUGUGGUGAUUGUCGUGGGCAUGGAGUUACAAUCAGCAAGGACAGUGCAAGGAAAAUUAAUUGUCAGAUAAGUUAAUGACACUGAUAUUCUUGCAGCUGAAUUAUUCUGGUGGGUUGUAAGAUUAUCACAGAAGAUCCUAGAUGUUCAUACCAGGCACAAGUUUGUCCUUUCCUUGUGACUGAUCAUUUUUCCAUUCAAUAGAAAAAACCCAACCCUCAAGACUUGAGGCAUCCAGUGAGGAAGCCAAAACCAAUUCCAGGCAGUUUGUAUGGCACAUUUCAUGAAUAGCAGAAAGCUCUGAGUGACCAGACAGAGAGAGAGAAGCUUACAACUGGAAAAUUGGUCACGUUUCCUACUUUGUGCUGUGAUUAUUUUCUGUCUUUCAGCCGUGCCCAAGGUUGCACGCAGGAUCAGAAUCCCAUCGGAUCACACUCAGACACUGAGAUGUGUUCACUAUCGUGGCAAAUAUUUUCAUCUAACAUAUAAAAUACCUAGCAGGGAGCUAAAAGGGAAGGACAACACUCAGGCAAGGUGACACAGUUUCUUCAAUUCCUCAGCAAGCUGAGAACCAGGAAACUUUAGAGCAGUCGGCCACUGCAUGGGGUAAAGAAGGAUGUGUGAAGUUUUAGCUCACUUGAAGUCCUCUAAAAGUUCAGUGAGGAGCUGGUCAAAACCCUUCAGAAAUCAGCAAGAGCCUUUCGACAGGUUUCCAUCCCCUGAAGGAUUGUGCAGCAAAGACAAGACUGCAAGUUCCAACUACAGAGACUUGCAAAUCACAGGGCAUCAAAGUUUGGGAAGCCUCUGAACGUCCCUCCCUGCAGCAAUUACUUCUCUGCCAGCUUUUGUGCUGGGGGGAGGUAUCAGCCACCUGAAGUUCUGUUUGCAAACAGGUUUUUUCCAGGAGACAGGCAGGAAUGUGAAAGCAGCAGCCCAGGAGUGGGCAUUGCUUGCUGGUGAAUGCAAAUUCCUGCGGAGCAGGAGGAUUCCUGCAGUGAUUCCCAGAGGUUGGAAGGAGCUGUGAGUCCUUACAGGUAUGGUAGGAUGGGAAAGGGAGAGGUGAAAAUACCCUUGAGGGGAUGCAGGAGUGAGGAGUGAAAAACACCACCAUGAACAUCACAAAGCUCCCAGGAAAGUUCUCAGGGUGGUGACCACUCUUCAGAACCCUCUCUCUGUGCUGAAGGGAAUGGAAUCUGUCAAUCUUUGGAUGCAGAGGGAUGUUGGCAGGACCAGAGAAAAAGGGUAGAUGCUGGAAAGCUUCCUUAUAGAACAGUUUUAUGUUAUUAUAACUACAGAGUCUCAUCAGUGUGGAUUAUGAGUGUAACUUAAUUAACUUUCACAUUAUAGUUAGAUGGGCUAAUAAUAGUAUUUUUUUUGGCGUUGAGUCCUCUCCAUUUCACACACAACAAAACUCUGUGUGUAACACGAGGACCAUUUCAGACCAUUUUUGAAGGAAUAUGGUGGCAAGUGACCCAAAAAAACCCCCAAAAAUUGAAUUUUACGGUGCAGUUUUGGCGCAGGGGAAAGAGAGAGCCGCAGCUGAAGGAGAGAAGAAGACCAUGGAAGUCCCAGGGGAUGUGCAUAUUUAUUGGAGAAGAAAUGCAGCAGCAUGUGACCUAGGGAGAGCUGAAAUUUUCAGUCUUUUUUUUUUCAGAAAGGGGGGAAAAAAAAGUGCAGGGGAAAAAAAAUGCUAAAAAAUCUAAAGGUGAAAGGUAACUUCUUCCAGGAGAUAUCAGUGGCAGUAACUGUCACUUUAUUAAGGGAGUGAAGGAGUAGGAACAGCCAAAUAGAAACAGGCUUGACAAAGUGGGCAACAAAUGUGAGAAAUAAUGCUGCUUCCUUGGUAAACAGGCUCAGUAGCAACGAAACAAAUAUUGGCUCUUGCUGAAAGAGUCCAUCAAAUCCAUAUCAGCAAACCUCAGUGUCACAGGGAAAAAAACAAGGCAGGAGGCCAAGAUGGUUCUACCAGGAAUGCUUUAAAAGCCUGAAUAUUUGGGCAAGGAAAAAAAAUAUUACAGAUAAAGUGGGAAGAAGGCUGCAAAUGAAAUGGAAAAAUAAAGGUAAAGUGCAACUAUGGAGGAAUAAAACCAGGGAGUUAAUAUAGAGAGUUAAUAAAAACGAGUUACAUAGAAACUUUGCCCCACACAUCUGUCUGAUUUAUACUGUGAUAUAAACUGAUUUAUACUGUGAUAUAAACUGAUUUAUACUCUGAUAUGCAUCAUAUUUAACAUGUAACCCACAGGUACCACAAGGAAUGCUUGAUAGCACAAGUUUCCCCUGGAUCAGGGAAAGCAGGAGGUGUGGUGGACAACACCUGGAAUCCCAUCCUGAGGGACGUUCUGGCACCUUCAUUGGAGUGAGGGUUUGGGGGUUUUUUGAGAGCUGGGCUGGGAUCCUCUAAGCUGAACGGACAUCUACCUUCUCUUCUGGGCUGUCAGUAAUUCAGCAGAUGAGUCAAUCUGAGGUGGAUGCCCUGGCUGGUUGACCAGCCUCAGUCCCCUGAUGAGGAAGCACAAAUUGCUAUCAAAGGUAACAGGAACAUGCUCGCAGGCUGGGUGCAUCUGUAACAGCUGGGUUUUGGCAGCUGGCUUGUUAAGUCUCUCCAAAUGCAGAGGGAGAAGUGCCAGUGAGCAGCUGCAUCCACUGGAAGACGCUGUGCAAAUCCACAGGAAGCGCUGGUAAACAGCUGGAACACGCCAGAUUUCCCAUUUUUGUGUCUGGUUGAUGAGGUGGUUUGUACCAGUCCUGUCCUCCUGCUCAGCAGUCAGUUUGACAGACAGAAAAACACAUCUUCAUCUUAUCAGCUCCAUCACCUCCCUGUGCUGGAGCUUUCGCCAUUCCUUGUGUCUGUGCCUCAGAGCAGUCUUGAGAACAGGGUGUUAAUGCUCAUCUUAGGCCAACACACCUGGAUAUGGUGAGUCAGAGAUUAAAGUCUUCUCUUCUUAAGGACCUGCGGAAGAAAGUUUGAUCAAAGUAGUUAAAAUUUUCCAUUUGCAAACUGCUGGAGGAUGGAGGAACCUCUGGACAUCAUCUGAACUAAUCCCACUGUUCAAGUAGGAUCAGCUCUACUUCAGGUCUGCGUCCAAUUGGGUUUUGGGUAUCUCCAUGGAUGGAGAGUCCACAACUUCUCCAGGCAACCUGUAGCAGUGUUGGAUCACCCUCUCAGUAAAAAGGUUUGGUUUUCUUUUUAUGUUUGAACAGAAUUUCCUGUGUCUCAUGGGAGCUUGACCACUACCCGAAAUCCUUAAGAAACCCUCAGAAAAAAACCCCCAGAGCCUGUAAAACAUCUCAGACUGAGUUGAAGAAACAUCUUACUUCAUCUCAGAAGGACCAGAUUCACAGCCAAAGAACAGGUGAAGAUUACAGCCUCCUUCCCCACAUGAAUCUUUUCUGUCCUGCCUACAUAGCUGCAAGAGUCAACUUUUUAUUUUUCUUUGUCCAAGGACAUUGUAAAAUAAACUGGCAGAUAGGACAUGGAAAUUUCUGAUUGCUCCAAGCAUUUUAGGAGGCAUUAUUGCUGCAGCUGCAGCUAUCCUGCCUUAAAUGUUGCAUUUAAGUCUAUUCCAUAAAUUACCUUUUCACAGCAGAGGCUAAAAGAGAUGGCAUGGAGCUGAUUCUAAAUUUUCUCUUGAAUGCUUCUGACCAAAACACAGCCACAGUAGGAGGCACAUAAAAAUUUUUGAAUUUGAAUUCAUGUGUGAAUUUUCACCUGCCACACUCAGGAAAAGCCUCACCCUGAUGCUAAAAGCACUAAUCCUGCAGUAAUUUGCAUGCAAGGCCUCUCACAGAUUUUGUGUGAGUUUUGUGCGUGUUCAGUCUCACGUUGAUGCCCCAGCCAGCAGGAGAGGGUCCCUCUGCCCUUUGGCAGAUGGCACUGAAACCUCCCAGUCCCAUGGCAGGAGCCAGGAUCUUGGAGUCAACAGCAGGUCUUUCCUUUGGGACUACAGAGCCGGACUUCUCUGCUUUCACAAAUUUCACGGAGCUAAAACCAAAGCAAAUUAAUUCCCAGUUCUAAUCUGCUCCCUCACACAUCGGCACAGGGUUGGGUUUUACCCAGACACCCUUGGAGCUGGAAACCUUCAAGUGACCCAGUUACAAGGUGCUUUACAACCCCGUGCAGGGGCUGAGAGAAUGAACUCUCCCAGUUCAUCUGCAGCACAAAGGGAGGGAGGAAUCAUCUGCUACCUCAACUCAUGCAUGCCCCUGGCAGGAAUGGAUGAGCUUCAGGGCACACAAACCCUCCGUCUGAUUUUUUCCAAGCAAUUAAAACCACCAGACAGGGAGCAGAGCUUCCAUGGUAGGAGCAUUACUGGGAGAGUCCUCCUUCCCUCUUUACCAGCUGAGUGGGGCUGAUGAAGUGAAAGACCAGGCAUGGGAAAAAAGAACUCUCUUGUCUUGGAUAACAACAUGUCCUCAGAGGCAGAAGAGGGGGUGGGAUUGGUGGUUGGCAGCUGAUGGCUGCUGAGCAUCCUGUGAAAUGAUGAGGCCCUGCCACACGUUGCCCAGAAAAGCUGUGGAUUCCCCAUCCCUGGAAGUGUCCAAGGCCAGGCUGGACAGGGCUUGGAA
Corvus hawaiiensis (hawaiian crow) is the source of this 6669-nucleotide long non-coding RNA. RefSeq lists it as uncharacterized. The record is from RefSeq and is a predicted model, not a curated record. The transcript has 3 exons. NCBI's taxonomy places the organism in Eukaryota, Metazoa, Chordata, Aves, Passeriformes, Corvidae.